Molecule: ribosomal RNA, 489 nt
Filed under: uncultured bacterium
Lineage: Bacteria
Description: partial 16S ribosomal RNA
Rfam family: Bacterial small subunit ribosomal RNA
Source: RNAcentral
AUUGAACGCUGGCGGCAUGCCUUACACAUGCAAGUCGAACGGCAGCAUGAUCUAGCUUGCUAGAUUGAUGGCGCGUGGCGCGCGGGUGAGUCAUACAUCGGGACGUGCCCUGUGGUGGGGGAUAACUAGUCGAAAGAUUAGCUAAUACCGCAUACGACCUGAGGGUGAAAGUGGGGGACCGCAAGGCCGCAUGCUAUAGGAGCGGCCGAUGUCUGAUUAGCUAGUUGGUGGGGUAAAGGCUCACCAAGGCGAAGAUCAGUAGCUGGUCGGAGAGGACGACCAGCCAAACGGAGACUGAGACACGGCCCAGACCCCUAGGGGGGGCAGCAGUGGGGAAUUUUGGACAAUGGGCGAAAGCCUGAGCCAGAAAUGCCGGGGGGGGGAAGAAGGCCUUCGGGUGGUAAAGCACUUUUGUCCGGAAAGAAAUGGCUCUGGUUAAUACCUGGGGUCGAGGACGGUACCGGAAGAAUAAGGACCGGUAAACUACGU